This is a long non-coding RNA of Podarcis muralis (Common wall lizard), 356 nucleotides long. RefSeq lists it as uncharacterized. Lineage: Eukaryota; Metazoa; Chordata; Lepidosauria; Squamata; Lacertidae. The record is from RefSeq and is a predicted model, not a curated record.
AUCCCAGCCAGCCAGAUUCCGCGGCGGCGGCGGCGACGGUGGCCUAGGCAGGCCAAACCGCGAAACGGAAAAGGAGGACGGAGGAGAGGAGAACCUCGAGACCGGCUAAACCAGCAUCCACCCCUUGAAGUAUACCUGUGAAUGCUGUCAUGCUGGCUACACUUCAUUAAAUGGACACACUGCUGAAAUUCACACUUCAGCCUGUGAGUCACAUCAUGCCUAAGGCCAAAGGAUAUCCGGCAGCACACACCUUUGGCUUAUUAUGGCUUAGUGUAAACGAAGAAAUGAAAGAGAUGAAGCCAUGCGUGUUGUCACCUCUGCUAACCAUAAGUGGCAGUUUACAGUCUUCUCAUUGU